This 210-nucleotide ribosomal RNA is filed under the name uncultured bacterium. RNAcentral's name for it is "partial 16S ribosomal RNA". It matches the Rfam family "Bacterial small subunit ribosomal RNA", at positions 540 to 747 of the family's 1533-position model. The record is from RNAcentral.
GUUGUCCGGAUUUAUUGGGUUUAAAGGGUGCGUAGGUGGUUUAUUAAGUCAGUGGUGAAAGGCUACAGCUCAACUGUAGGAGUGCCAUUGAUACUGGUAGACUUGAGUUUGGUCGAGGUAGGCGGAAUUUAUGGUGUAGCGGUGAAAUGCAUAGAUACCAUAAAGGAACCCCGAUAGUGAAGACAGCUUACUAGGCCUGGAACUGACACU